This is a long non-coding RNA of Hippocampus comes (tiger tail seahorse), 945 nucleotides long. RefSeq lists it as uncharacterized. Lineage: Eukaryota; Metazoa; Chordata; Actinopteri; Syngnathiformes; Syngnathidae. The record is from RefSeq and is a predicted model, not a curated record. The transcript has 4 exons.
GGCUCCCUUGACUUUACUUGUGCGAGUGGAGGCUGUCUUGACCGCGGUCUCUUAUCCAUGUUGACAUAGUGGAUUGGGCGUUUGUGCGCCACCUUGUCACGUGACCCUGCUGCUGCAGAGAGUCAUACAAGUGGUUUUCCGAAGGGGCGAGGGAGAGGGGAGGGAAGGCAAGGGACUAUUCGCGACUGCAGAGGUUGGCAGGAGGGGCGGGGGGAUAGACCGAUUCCUGACAACACAGGACAAACUGAUUCAAAACAAGUUCUAUUUCAAAAUGAACGGAGAGGUUACGGUCAUGUUAUGAUGUCGACGCCAAAGUGAAAGACCAAAGAAGCCCAGCUGCCAAGAAGCUGAGAAAUGGACCAAAGAAAAAGGGGCAAUUUUAGAGCAAGAGCACCCACGGGCCAAAAUGAGGAGUGAGACCCUUCACAGCAGCCACAAACAUGGUUCUACAGUCUCAGGAGGAGCCAUCUACCUCUUCAGCCACAUGUUCAUUUGCAGGACGAAUCAGAAAUCCCACCAAGUCCUGUGCCUGAUGAUGAGCCUCUCUGUCUGCUAACCCUGCUAAUUGGACUUAAGUUCUGACUGACAGAAUUUGGACGCACCUGAAUUUUAGAGGACCGAUGAAGAUAUUUCGACUGUGACACAUUCUGCAAAAAUGUCCACGACCUCUGUUAUUCGACCAACAAAACAAUAAAUCUUGGCGAUAUUCAAAGCAGCCCCACCUUCUUUCCUGUUUUAUAUUUUAGAAAUAAUUUCCUAUCCAUCACUUUAAAAAUCCAUGCGUCUUUCAGUUUCUGAUGCAGCAAUUAUGUUAAAGAGUUAUGUGAACUCAGUUAGACAAGAUUUGAUAUUAUGGAAGUUGGCAUAUAUUGUAGUCUUCUGCCGGUGUUAUAAUGUUCAUUUAUGUAAUAAUUGCAGGAAUUAUUAAACGCAUGAAAGAACUUA